Molecule: small nucleolar RNA, 103 nt
Filed under: Lachancea fermentati
Lineage: Eukaryota; Fungi; Ascomycota; Saccharomycetes; Saccharomycetales; Saccharomycetaceae
Source: RNAcentral
UUGGUUAUCUCUUCUCACUAUAUGAUGACUCUGAGUGCAUUUGGCUCGAGACGUUUUUGUCGAUGUGGAAAAACCCAAGCUACCUUACUUUUUUUGUCUGAUG